RNAcentral lists this non-coding RNA (29 nucleotides) under Homo sapiens (human). Lineage: Eukaryota; Metazoa; Chordata; Mammalia; Primates; Hominidae. The record is from RNAcentral.
UGGGUGAUGACAAGAGAACUGCCAGGGCC